RNAcentral lists this ribosomal RNA (402 nucleotides) under uncultured bacterium. RNAcentral describes it as "bacterial SSU rRNA". It matches the Rfam family "Bacterial small subunit ribosomal RNA", at positions 917 to 1322 of the family's 1533-position model. The record is from RNAcentral.
GGGCCCGCACAAGCAGUGGAGCAUGUGGUUUAAUUCGAUGAUACGCGAGGAACCUUACCAGGGCUUAAAUGUAGUCUGACAGGGGUGGAAACACCCCCUCCUUCGGGCAGAUUACAAGGUGCUGCAUGGUUGUCGUCAGCUCGUGCCGUGAGGUGUCAGGUUAAGUCCUAUAACGAGCGCAACCCCUGCCGUUAGUUGCCAGCAUGUAAUGAUGGGAACUCUAACGGGACUGCCGGUGCAAACCGCGAGGAAGGUGGGGAUGACGUCAAAUCAUCACGGCCCUUACGUCCUGGGCUACACACGUGCUACAAUGGCCGGUACAGAGGGCAGCCACACCGCAAGGUGGAGCGAAUCCUUAAAACCGAUCGUAGUCCGGAUUGUUGUCUGCAACUCGACAGCAUG